Molecule: ribosomal RNA, 374 nt
Filed under: uncultured bacterium
Lineage: Bacteria
Description: bacterial SSU rRNA
Rfam family: Bacterial small subunit ribosomal RNA
Source: RNAcentral
AACGUAGGAGGCGAGCGUUAUCCGGAUUUACUGGGCGUAAAGCGUGUGUAGGCGGUUUGAUAUGUUGGAUGUGAAAGCUCCUGGCUCAACUGGGAGAGGUCGUUCAAAACCAUCAGACUAGAGAGUGGUAGAGGGAGGUGGAAUUCCGCGUGUAGUGGUGAAAUGCGUAGAUAUGCGGAGGAACACCAGUGGCGAAAGCGGCCUCCUGGCCCAUUUCUGACGCUCAGACACGAAAGCUAAGGUAGCAAACGGGAUUAGAGACCCCGGUAGUCUUAGCUGUAAACGAUGUGAACUUAGUGUCGGUGGGGUUAAAUCCAUCGGUACUGAAGCAAACGCGAUAAGUUCACCGCCUGAGGACUACGGCCGCAAGGUUA